GAUGAAGAACGUAGCGAAAUGCGAUAAGUAAUGCGAAUUGCAGAAUCCGUGAGUCAUCGAAUCUUUGAACGCACAUUGCGCCCUUUGGUAUUCCGAAGGGCAUGCCUGUUCGAGCGUCAUUAUCACCCCUCAAGCCCCGGCUUGGUGUUGGGCUCUCGGUGGUCGUCUCCGACCACCCGUCUCAAAGAUAGUGACGGUGUCCCAGAGGGAACCGGUACGAGGAGCUUUCACGAGCAUGUACGCGGGACGACUCUGCGGGCGACGGUCUUAUUUACUUUAUAUACAAGUGUUGACCUCGGAUCAGGUAGGAAUACCCGCUGAACUUAAGCAUAUCAAUAAGCGGAGGA
This 347-nucleotide unclassified non-coding RNA is filed under the name soil metagenome. Its description in RNAcentral is "partial contains 5.8S ribosomal RNA, internal transcribed spacer 2, and large subunit ribosomal RNA". The stretch from base 1 to 119 matches the Rfam family "5.8S ribosomal RNA", at positions 35 to 154 of the family's 154-position model. The record is from RNAcentral.